RNAcentral lists this transfer RNA (75 nucleotides) under bacterium BMS3Abin15. RNAcentral's name for it is "tRNA-Ile". It matches the Rfam family "tRNA". From Rfam's summary of the family: Transfer RNA (tRNA) molecules are approximately 80 nucleotides in length. Their secondary structure includes four short double-helical elements and three loops (D, anti-codon, and T loops). The record is from RNAcentral.
GGGUGUGUAGCUCAGUUGGUUAGAGCACUUCACUGAUAAUGAAGAGGUCGGAAGUUCGAGUCUUCCCACACCCAC